Molecule: ribosomal RNA, 377 nt
Filed under: uncultured eukaryote
Lineage: Eukaryota
Description: partial 18S ribosomal RNA
Rfam family: Eukaryotic small subunit ribosomal RNA
Source: RNAcentral
CAAUAGCGUAUAUUUAAGUUGCUGCAGUUAAAAAGCUCGUAGUUGGAUUUCGGGUGGGAAUGGCCGGUCCGCCGUUUCGGUGUGCACUUGCUACGCCCACCUUGCUGCCGGGGACGUGCUCUUGAGUUCACGCUCGGGACACGGAGUCGGCGAGGUUACUUUGAGUAAAUUAGAGUGUUCAAAGCAGGCCUACGCUCUGAAUACAUUAGCAUGGAAUAACACGCUAGGACUCUGGCCUAUCUUGUUGGUCUGUAGGACCGGAGUAAUGAUUAAGAGGGACAGUCGGGGGCAUUCGUAUUUCAUUGUCAGAGGUGAAAUUCUUGGAUUUAUGAAAGACGAACUACUGCGAAAGCAUUUGCCAAGGAUGUUUUCAUUAA